This 427-nucleotide ribosomal RNA is filed under the name uncultured bacterium. Its description in RNAcentral is "partial 16S ribosomal RNA". It matches the Rfam family "Bacterial small subunit ribosomal RNA", at positions 355 to 774 of the family's 1533-position model. The record is from RNAcentral.
UGGGGAAUAUUGGACAAUGGGCGAAAGCCUGAUCCAGCCAUGCCGCGUGUGUGAAGAAGGUCUUCGGAUUGUAAAGCACUUUAAGUUGGGAGGAAGGGCAUUAACCUAAUACGUUAGUGUUUUAACGUUACCGACAGAAUAAGCACCGGCUAACUCUGUGCCAGCAGCCGCGUUAAUACAGAGGGUGCAAGCGUUAAUCGGAAUUACUGGGCGUAAAGCGCGCGUAGGUGGUUUGUUAAGUUGGAUGUGAAAUCCCCGGGCUCAACCUGGGAACUGCAUUCAAAACUGACUGACUAGAGUAUGGUAGAGGGUGGUGGAAUUUCCUGUGUAGCGGUGAAAUGCGUAGAUAUAGGAAGGAACACCAGUGGCGAAGGCGGCCACCUGGACUAAUACUGACACUGAGGUGCGAAAGCGUGGGGAGCAAACA